RNAcentral lists this ribosomal RNA (587 nucleotides) under Alphaproteobacteria bacterium. RNAcentral's name for it is "partial 23S ribosomal RNA". It matches the Rfam family "Bacterial large subunit ribosomal RNA", at positions 2327 to 2925 of the family's 2925-position model. Lineage: Bacteria; Pseudomonadati; Pseudomonadota; Alphaproteobacteria. The record is from RNAcentral.
CUGGUCGGAAAUCAGUUGGCGAGUGCAAUGGCAUAAGCCUGCCUGACUGCGAGGCUGACAGGCCGAGCAGAGACGAAAGUCGGUCAUAGUGAUCCGGUGGUCCCGCGUGGAAGGGCCAUCGCUCAACGGAUAAAAGGUACGCCGGGGAUAACAGGCUGAUGAUGCCCAAGAGUCCAUAUCGACGGCAUUGUUUGGCACCUCGAUGUCGGCUCAUCGCAUCCUGGGGCUGGAGCAGGUCCCAAGGGUUUGGCUGUUCGCCAAUUAAAGCGGUACGUGAGCUGGGUUUAGAACGUCGUGAGACAGUUCGGUCCCUAUCUGCCGUGGGUGUAGGAGAAUUGAGAGGAUCUGCCCCUAGUACGAGAGGACCGGGGUGGACGUACCUCUGGUGGACCAGUUGUCGCGCCAGCGGCACAGCUGGGUAGCUAUGUACGGACUGGAUAACCGCUGAAAGCAUCUAAGCGGGAAACCAACCUCGAAACUAAUUCUCCCUUGAGAACCGUGGAAGACGACCACGUUGAUAGGCCAGGUGUGUAAGUGCAGCAAUGUAUUGAGCUUACUGGUACUAAUCGUUCGAUUGGCUUGAUUAC